CCUACGGUGGGCUGCAGUGGGGAAUAUUGGGCAAUGGACGCAAGUCUGACCCAGCAACGCCGCGUGAAGGAAGAAGGCUUUCGGGUUGUAAACUUCUUUUAAGGGGGAAGAGCAGAAGACGGUACCCCUUGAAUAAGCCACGGCUAACUACGUGCCAGCAGCCGCGGUAAUACGUAGGUGGCAAGCGUUGUCCGGAUUUACUGGGUGUAAAGGGCGUGCAGCCGGAGAGACAAGUCAGAUGUGAAAUCCACGGGCUCAACGUGGGAACUGCCUUUGAAACUGGCAAACUGGAGUGUGUGAGAGGAUAGUGGAAUUCCAGGUGUAGGAGUGAAAUCCGUAGAUAUCUGGAGGAACAUCAGUGGCGAAGGCGACUAUCUGGCACAUAACUGACGCUGAGGAGCGAAAGCGUGGGUAGCAAACAGGAUUAGAUACCCCUGUAGUC
Molecule: ribosomal RNA, 442 nt
Filed under: uncultured bacterium
Lineage: Bacteria
Description: partial 16S ribosomal RNA
Rfam family: Bacterial small subunit ribosomal RNA
Source: RNAcentral